RNAcentral lists this ribosomal RNA (479 nucleotides) under Mystus mysticetus. RNAcentral's name for it is "partial 12S ribosomal RNA". It matches the Rfam family "Bacterial small subunit ribosomal RNA", at positions 859 to 1533 of the family's 1533-position model. The record is from RNAcentral. Lineage: Eukaryota; Metazoa; Chordata; Actinopteri; Siluriformes; Bagridae.
ACACACACAUCCGCCCGGGUACUACGAGCACAGCUUAAAACCCAAAGGACUUGGCGGUGUCUCAGACCCACCUAGAGGAGCCUGUUCUAGAACCGAUAACCCUCGUUAAACCUCACCACUUCUUGUUUUCCCCGCCUAUAUACCGCCGUCGUCAGCUUACCCUGUGAAGGUUUAAUAGUAAGCAAAAUGGGCCCGCCCAAAAACGUCAGGUCGAGGUGUAGCGUACGAAGUGGAAAGAAAUGGGCUACAUUUUCUAUAUACAGAAUAUUACGGACGAUGCAUUGAAAUUAUGCACCCGAAGGUGGAUUUAGUAGUAAAAAGCAAGCAGAGUGUCCCUUUGAACUAGGCUCUGAGACGCGCACACACCGCCCGUCACUCUCCCCAACACCUCAUCCAAACCAUAUCUAAUAAAUUAACUAUAAACACGGGGAGGCAAGUCGUAACAUGGUAAGUGUACCGGAAGGUGCACUUGGAAUAAU